This 324-nucleotide ribosomal RNA is filed under the name uncultured eukaryote. RNAcentral's name for it is "partial 18S ribosomal RNA". It matches the Rfam family "Eukaryotic small subunit ribosomal RNA", at positions 1470 to 1796 of the family's 1831-position model. The record is from RNAcentral.
CCCUUAGAUGUUCUGGGCCGCACGCGCGCUACACUGAUGCCUUCAACGAGUUUCUUCCUGGUCCGAGAGGAAUGGGUAACCUUUUGAAAGUGCAUCGUGAUAGGGAUAGACUAUUGCAAUUAUUGGUCUUCAACGAGGAAUUCCUAGUAGACGUAGUUCAUCAGACUGCAUCGAUUACGUCCCUGCCCUUUGUACACACCGCCCGUCGCUCCUACCGAUUGAAUGCUCAGGUGAGCCAUUCGGACUUUCAUCAUGCUGGUUUCCAGUUUUGAUGAAGGAAAGUCUUGCGAACCUUAUCAUUUAGAGGAAGGAGAAGUCGUAACA